Non-coding RNA from Heterocephalus glaber (naked mole-rat), 2311 nucleotides. The record is from RefSeq and is a predicted model, not a curated record. NCBI's taxonomy places the organism in Eukaryota, Metazoa, Chordata, Mammalia, Rodentia, Bathyergidae.
UGGAUAGCAGAUUGAUCCAUGAUAGCGCUGUGAGACUGAGCCAGUGCAGGCAGGGCCUCUGAGACUUGGAAAGCUGGAUCAUAAAAGAUAGCAGAGGUCCUGCCUGUGGUUUUGAUACUCACUCUUAGAACUCAACUACCGAUACAAAGAAGUCCAAACCAACUCGAGUUGGAGGCCCCUGGCAAGUUCCCCCUCCUGCGACCCAGCUGAGGCCCUAGCCAACAGCAGUAUUAAUGGCCAACUGUGUGGAUGAAGAAGCCCCUGAGGGGCCCGCCUCCCAGGACAUGGGCUGCCUCCAGCCUUUGAGUCUUCCCAGCCGAAGCUUCGAAUGUCUUGGAGCAGAAACAAUCUAGAGCAUUCUGCUGUGUUUGGAUUCCUGACCUGAAGAAUCUAUGGAUGGCAUUCACCUGAACUGCUUCACAGAGGAGAUCUCCAAGUGAUGGUGAGGAACGGCAACCACUUAGCAUCCAUUCGAGCCAGACUAUGCACUCACGCGAUGGACAGUUCCCCUGGCGCCUCAGGCUCCAGCAUUGAGUGCAUCUUUGGCGUCUCUCUGUUUUUCUAAACCAAGCAAAUGCAACAUCGAAGUUCAAAGAGACAUUGUACACUGGGUGCAAAUCCUGAACCAGCAGAAGAUGAGAAUCGGUGGGCGAAUGACCCUGAAUCCGUUUGUGAGGUCAAUUCUGGGUCUCCUCAGAGGUUUGCACAUAGGACCCAGCAGACUGUUCAACAGCUCCUGUGAAUGCUUUUAAUGGUUUAAAUACUGUACUUAUUAUCCCUUUCUUUAUACCCUCAGUUUUACUCCAUAGGAUCAUCUUUCAAAUAAACCACCAGCACCUACAACCUUGUCCCGGGCUCCACUUCUAGGAUGAACUCAAACUAAGACAAGUUAUGGAGUUAGGGUUUCUCAGGAAAGGUUGUAUUUAGAGACAAGUACCCUCCUUAUUAGAAAUAUUAAUGUGCUGGAAGCCUCAAAGUUCCAGCCUGCUUCACUGACAGUGAUCUAGUGAAAUUUACAUAGCUGCUUCUUAUUUCUAUAAUCAGAAAAAGAUUAAAUAGGUCUCAUUUUUCUGGAAAUACAGAAUUGUACGAUUCCUAUUUCUGUAUGAGAACUCGUUUCUUUUCUCCUUGAUCCACAAAUUAAACUUACAGCUAUAGGACAACCAUAUUAAUUUUUUAAACGCAGUAACAUUUUGACUAAAUCUUCUAAGAAGUAAUUAUCCUGUUUUCAUUAAUGCUAAUAUAUUAUUGCAGAAACAUUUUUUUUUUUAAACACAACUAAAAAGCCCAAGAAUGUCAAGGGCUGGUAAAACCAUGUGGUAGAUUAACUGAUGGUCAGUUUAAGUGGGAAUGCCCAGCUGAACUGAGUCAGCAUGGUUCUGGCCAUGGAGACCCCACCUGAGGAUUGUCAUCAGAACAGAAAUCAAAGGAGAACAGGAGGGGAGGAUUUGCUGCUGAUUCUCCUUGGAAGGUCCUUACUCCAGAAUGAUGGUGCUUCUGCUAUGGUUCACCUAUGGGGGCUGCCAGAGACCCCAGAAAGCAUCUCAUCUCCUGCCCCCUUCCUACCCUCUGGAAGAGCAGAGGCUGCUGAGCUUUGGCUGCUGUUCCCCUCAGAGGAGCUCUAUCCUGGGUGUCAUCUCCUGGCUCUCAGUCAUCUCCAGACUCUUUGGCCUUCACCACCAGCCUCUGGGCUUUCCCGGGCAGACCCUCAGUCUUCCCUCAAAGACUCCUCGGCUUUCUGAUGCAGACUCAAGAGGACAUUGCUGUGGGACCCAGACCCUCAGCUGGAUUCUUCAGAUCUCCAGUGUACGGACAAGUCUCUUGCACUCUUCUGCACUUGACUUUCAGGUGAAUAUUAUACAAUAAUCCUAUGAAUUACGUAUCCUGUAUUAAAUUUAUCCCCUUGCAAACCCUGACUACCACAAAACAUAUGGCAAAUGUAGUGAAGGGAUGAACAAUGGCGUGGUUAUGAAGCUUCUUUAAAUAUCAAUAAUAGGUCAUUGAUGAUAAUUUAAUUAUCAAAACACAUAUAUAUUGUGAAAUUAAUCUCAAGACUUUGAAACUUGAUUUUAUAUAUUAGCAUGAAAUUAACAUAAGCUACUUUGAGACCUUUAUGAAACAUAACACUACGGUGAUACACUAUACUACAUUAUUCACUUUUGGCUCCAAAGUUUUAAUGUCCAAUAAACCACAUUGUAAUUUUAAUGUGAUAAAAUUUCUGGAACACAAUUGUAUGAAAAGUGGUGUAUUUGUAAAAGUCUAAUGAAAAGUGGGGGAUUUGUAAGUCAGAUGGCCUAUGGAAGUAAUUAAA